UUCCAUAUUUGCAUCACAAAACAAAGAAAAAGAUAGGUAGCAAAGAAGAAGAGAAAUCAUCAGAUAAGUUAAGCUAGUACAAUUAAUAAAUUAUACAGAUGGAGAUCGUUGGAAGCAGAAACCUCAUGAUUUCAAUGGCGUUUCUCAUGGCUAUUAUUUUGGUGCAAGGAGCCUCAACUGCGCAUGCUAAUGAUGUGCCUCCGAAUCUCGACUACGAGACAUGCUUCAAGGAGUGUAUGUUCAUGUCCGGGUGCAAAACACUACCCCCCAAAGAAUCCAAAAUGUGCACAUCACAGUGCAAGGAGAUGUGCCGCCACCAUCUCCGAGCCAGUGCCCCGUCUCCCUCUGUUGGUACUCCAGGUCCGGCCUCUGUUCAUUCCAAUAGCGUCAUUUAAGGUUCUGAUGAUGUAAGAAAGAGGACCGUGAUGCAAUCUGCCCUGGGGUUUUAAGAUUCUACAUAGUAUGGGUCUAAAUGUAAUGAACAAGGCAUUAUAAUAGCCAGAAAAUCAUAUAUUAAUCCUUUUAUAUAGAAAGGCCAGAAAAUCAUAUGAAACAACUCUAUUUUAGCAAUCAAGUUGUAAUUGAUCGUGGGGAAUAAAUAAUAGGUUGCUCAUUUUCUUUAGUUGGGCACUUAAAAAAUUGAGAGAUUCUCUUAUUUGUCUGUUCUAUCAAUUGAUGGAGAAGGCUUUUGGUGAUCCAAUCUUGCUACAUGAUGUGAGCGACAAUUAAUAAAUGUAUGCCUUAAGACG
Molecule: non-coding RNA, 749 nt
Organism: Punica granatum (pomegranate)
Lineage: Eukaryota; Viridiplantae; Streptophyta; Magnoliopsida; Myrtales; Lythraceae
Source: RefSeq, a predicted model, not a curated record